ACUGGACUGCGGGUGCAACUCCUGCGGUGGCUCUUCCGGCCGCUUAUCCGCCGGAUCAUU
Molecule: non-coding RNA, 60 nt
Filed under: Roseovarius tolerans
Lineage: Bacteria; Pseudomonadati; Pseudomonadota; Alphaproteobacteria; Rhodobacterales; Roseobacteraceae
Description: sul1 RNA
Rfam family: sul1 RNA
Source: Rfam by way of RNAcentral